Molecule: long non-coding RNA, 259 nt
Organism: Syngnathus acus (greater pipefish)
Lineage: Eukaryota; Metazoa; Chordata; Actinopteri; Syngnathiformes; Syngnathidae
Exons: 3
Source: RefSeq, a predicted model, not a curated record
GGCGAGUUCGUGUACCAGGACUCUUGUUACCAUUUUGAGGGGACACUUAAAACCUGGCAAGCGGCUGAGGAUUUCUGCAAGAACAAGGGAGGUCACCUGGCCAGCGUCCACUCCCUGGUUGACGGACAAUUUUUGGCUGCUCACCGGCCACUAGGAUGGUAUUCUUGGCUGGGACUCAGCCAGAACAAUGGCAACUUGGAGUGGCGCGACGGAUCAGCUACAGAUGACGUUCCGUUGUAUCUUCCUACAACACCAUAUA